This 284-nucleotide ribosomal RNA is filed under the name Elysia diomedea. RNAcentral describes it as "partial large subunit ribosomal RNA". It matches the Rfam family "Archaeal large subunit ribosomal RNA", at positions 2046 to 2598 of the family's 2987-position model. The record is from RNAcentral. Lineage: Eukaryota; Metazoa; Mollusca; Gastropoda; Plakobranchidae.
UUGGCUUUUAAAUGGAGUCGGGAAUGAAUGGAUUUAUGGGGUGAAACUGUCUCCUUUAUAUUAUAUUGAACUUACUCAAUAGGUGAAAAUGCCUAUAAAUAGAAAAAAGACGAGAAGACCCUAGGAGUUUUUACUAAAUGUUAAACUUCAUAUUAACUGUUGUUUUUGUUGGGGCGACAAGGGAGCAUUAAGAAUAAACCUCCUCUUUUAAUUUGCCGACAUAGUAUGAGAAAAUAAACUACCCUAGGGAUAACAGCGUAAUUCUUAAGAGCUUGCGACCUCGA